UACGGAAGGGGCAAGCGUUGUUCGGAAUCAUUGGGCGUAAAGGGCGCGUAGGUGGUUCUGUAUGUCUACCGUGAAAGCGUACGGCUCAACCGUAUUUUGUCGGUGGAAACUGCAGGACUUGAGGCUGGGAGGGGCUGGUGGAAUUCCCUGUGUAGCGGUGAAAUGCGUAGAGAUGGGGGAGAACACUCGUGGCGAAGGCGGCAUCCUGGACCAACACUGACGCUGAGUGAGCGAAAGCCAGGGGAGCAAACGGG
RNAcentral lists this ribosomal RNA (254 nucleotides) under uncultured bacterium. Its description in RNAcentral is "partial 16S ribosomal RNA". It matches the Rfam family "Bacterial small subunit ribosomal RNA", at positions 524 to 776 of the family's 1533-position model. The record is from RNAcentral.